This 384-nucleotide ribosomal RNA is filed under the name Triticum aestivum (bread wheat). RNAcentral's name for it is "partial small subunit ribosomal RNA". The record is from RNAcentral. Lineage: Eukaryota; Viridiplantae; Streptophyta; Magnoliopsida; Poales; Poaceae.
AUGGUCUCAGAGGCGCAUAACAACCGUGCGGAGUACGACAAGUCUUUGCAUGAAGCGCGUCGGGAGAUCGACUUGAAGGUGCAAAAGGAUCGCGAUGAGGUAGAUAAGAAACUCAAAAAAGAACGUUCAUACGUGGACAGGAUGAUAAAGGAGGAGCGUGAGGAGUUUUCCCGUAAGAUGGCGAAGAUGCGUCUUGAGAUUGAAGAAAAGUAUAAGCGGGACUGUAAUGACAUGGAAAAAAAGUUUUUCCUUGGCUACAAGGAAAUGCAUCAAACGUUUCAGAAGGACCGGAAGCUUGUGGACAGUAUUAUACAGACAGAGCGAGUCAGGAUGGAUGCCUAUGUGUUGCAGGCACGUGCGGAUAUGGACAAUAAGCUGCUAUAG